GAUGAACGCUGGCGGCGUGCCUAAUACAUGCAAGUCGAGCGAACGGACGAGAAGCUCGCUUCUCUGAUGUUAGCGGCGGACGGGUGAGUAACACGUGGAUAACCUACCUAUAAGACUGGGGUAACUUCGGGAAACCGGAGCUAAUACCGGAUGAUAUUUUGAACCGCAUGGUUCAAAAGUGAAAGACGGUCUUGCUGUCACUUAUAGAUGGAUCCGCGCUGCAUUAGCUAGUUGGUAAGGUAACGGCUUACCAAGGCAACGAUGCAUAGCCGACCUGAGAGGGUGAUCGGCCACACUGGAACUGAGACACGGUCCAGACUCCUACGGGAGGCAGCAGUAGGGAAUCUUCCGCAAUGGGCGAAAGCCUGACGGAGCAACGCCGCGUGAGUGAUGAAGGUCUUCGGAUCGUAAAACUCUGUUAUUAGGGAAGAACAUAUGUGUAAGUAACUGUGCACAUCUUGACGGUACCUAAACAGAAAGCCACGGCUAACUACGUG
Molecule: ribosomal RNA, 497 nt
Filed under: uncultured bacterium
Lineage: Bacteria
Description: partial 16S ribosomal RNA
Rfam family: Bacterial small subunit ribosomal RNA
Source: RNAcentral